GGCGGCGUGCCUAACACAUGCAAGUCGUACGAGAAAGUCCCGUUCGCGGGAUGAGUAAAGUGGCGGCACGGGUGAGUAAUGCGUGGAUAAUCUGCCCUUUAGUUGGGAAUAACGUGCCGAAAGGUGCGCUAAUACCCGAUAAUACUGCACAACUACUGUUGUGUAGUCAAAGAAGGCCUCUGUUUACAAGCUUUUGCUGAAGGAUGAGUCCGGUACCAUUAGGCUGGUUGGUGGGGUAAUGGCCUACCAAGGCUACGAUGGUUAGCUGGUCUGAGAGGAUGAUCAGCCACACUGGAACUGAGACACGGUCCAGACUCCUACGGGAGGCAGCAGUGAGGAAUAUUGCGCAAUGGGGGCAACCCUGACGCAGCAACGCCGCGUGAGUGAGGAAGGUUUUCGGACCGUAAAGCUCUGUCGAGCGGGAAGAAAUGCAUGGUGGCUAAUAUCCAUCAUGCUUGACGGUACCGCUAAAGGAAGCACCGGCUAACUCCGUG
This 494-nucleotide ribosomal RNA is filed under the name uncultured bacterium. Its description in RNAcentral is "bacterial SSU rRNA". It matches the Rfam family "Bacterial small subunit ribosomal RNA", at positions 38 to 507 of the family's 1533-position model. The record is from RNAcentral.